This 253-nucleotide ribosomal RNA is filed under the name uncultured bacterium. RNAcentral describes it as "partial 16S ribosomal RNA". It matches the Rfam family "Bacterial small subunit ribosomal RNA", at positions 524 to 776 of the family's 1533-position model. The record is from RNAcentral.
UACGUAGGGGGCAAGCGUUGUCCGGAUUUAUUGGGCGUAAAGGGUCCGCAGGUGGUCGUGCACGUCUCGUGUCAAAUAUCAGGGCUCAACCCUGACACCGCACGAGAUACGACAUGACUAGAGGCCGGGAGAGGUAAGCGGAAUUGCCGGUGUAGUAGUAAUAUGCGUUAAUAUCGGCAAGAACACCAAAUGCGAAGGCAGCUUACUGGACCGCGCCUGACACUCAGGGACGAAAGCGUGGGUAGCGAAAGGG